RNAcentral lists this ribosomal RNA (253 nucleotides) under uncultured bacterium. Its description in RNAcentral is "partial 16S ribosomal RNA". It matches the Rfam family "Bacterial small subunit ribosomal RNA", at positions 524 to 776 of the family's 1533-position model. The record is from RNAcentral.
UACGUAGGUGGCAAGCGUUGUCCGGAUUUACUGGGUGUAAAGGGUGCGCAGGCGGGCGCUUAAGUAGGAAGUGAAAGGUUCGAGCUCAACUCGGACACUGCUUUCUAUACUGGGUGCCUUGAGGCUUGGAGGGGGAAGCGGAACGACACGUGUAGCGGUGAAAUGCGUUGAUAUGUGUCGGAACACCAAUGGCGAAAGCAGCUUCCUGGACAAGUACUGACGCUCAGGCACGAAAGCCAAGGUAGCAAACAGG